RNAcentral lists this long non-coding RNA (793 nucleotides) under Ananas comosus (pineapple). RNAcentral describes it as "long non-coding RNA (ACOM_LNC004262)". The record is from RNAcentral. Lineage: Eukaryota; Viridiplantae; Streptophyta; Magnoliopsida; Poales; Bromeliaceae.
CUUUAUUGUCAUAUAUAUAUAUAAACCACAAAUCGAUCGUUUUUAGCGCAAGUGACAAAAUAUUUGAUAGUUGGUAUGACAAAGGAUUUGAUAGUUGGUAUUGGAGGUUUCAAAUUCGUUGUUUUAUAUUUUUAAUUAAAUUUAUUUUUUUAAAAAAAUAAAUAAAACGGAUAGUAUGUUACCUUUUAUAUUUUCAGCUAACUUUAUUUUUUUUUAAAAAUAAACAGAAAACAUGCUGUCUUUCCUAAAAAAGAACCACAAAAGGUAUAUUUUAAAUUAGUUAUAUUGUACCAAACAUCAUAGGAAAGAAAUUUGUUAGAAAUAUAAUAAUAAUUGUAUAUUAAAGUGAUGUUUUAAAAGAGUUUUUGCCAGAUUUUUAUUGAAGAAUACUGUUAUAUUUACAAUAAAUCUUAUAACGUUUUGCAAAUUUGCUUAUAUGGUCGUAUUUAUUUGAUAAAAGAAUAUCAAUUAUGAGAGGAUAGUUAUAAUACACCAGGUAAAGAAUAAAAUACUAAUCACUAAAUUUUAAAUUUUAUAAAAUUAUUUAUAAAAAAAAUAUACUUUUUAUGUAAUGUGAAUGCAUUUAAUUCUAUGUUAUAAACCUUUUUUUUUCUUUUUUUUUUUAAGAGAGAUAGAUAGCACGUUAUUAACUUCGUUUUAUUUUAUUUAAUAAUAAAUUUAACUGAAAAUAUGAAUUAACUAGAAUUCAAAUUUGAAUUUUGAAUACCAACUAUGAAAUUCUUUGCCAUUUGCUCUAGAAACGAACAGCAUUCUAUGUUAUAAACCUUAAUUG